RNAcentral lists this ribosomal RNA (524 nucleotides) under uncultured bacterium. Its description in RNAcentral is "partial 16S ribosomal RNA". It matches the Rfam family "Bacterial small subunit ribosomal RNA", at positions 28 to 523 of the family's 1533-position model. The record is from RNAcentral.
GACGAACGCUGGCGGCGUGCUUAACACAUGCAAGUCGAACGAGACGAUUGGAAGCUUGCUUUUAAAAGUCGAGUGGCAAACGGGUGAGUAACGCGUAGACAACCUGCCUUUGAGAUGGGGACAACAGUUCGAAAGGACUGCUAAUACCGAAUGUUGUAUAUUUUCCACAUGGAAGAUAUAUUAAAGAUGGCCUCUAUUUAUAAGCUAUCGCUCAAAGAUGGGUCUGCGUCUGAUUAGCCGGUUGGUGGGGUAACGGCCUACCAAGGCGACGAUCAAUAGCCGGUCUGAGAGGAUGAACGGCCACAUUGGGACUGAGACAUGGCCCAGACUCCUACGGGAGGCAGCAGUGGGGAAUCUUCCACAAUGGACGAAAGUCUGAUGGAGCAACGCCGCGUGAGUGAAGAAGGGUUUCGGCUCGUAAAGCUCUGUUGUCGGGGACGAAUGUGCAGUAUUUGAAUAAAGUACUGUAAUGACGGUACCUGACGAGGAAGCCACGGCUAACUACGUGCCAGCCGCCGCAGUAA